AGUGAACGCUGGCGGCGUGCCUAAUACAUGCAAGUCGAACGAAGUGGCGCACGGGUGAGUAAUAUAUAGUUAAUCUGCCCUACACAGAGGAACAACAGUUGGAAACGACUGCUAAUACCUCAUAGUGUAGGAUGAGACUAUAUCGUAUCAGCUAGUUGGUAAGGUAAUGGCUUACCAAGGCUAUGACGGGUAACUGGUCUGAGAGGAUGAUCAGUCAAAUUGGAAGUGAGACACGGGUCAAACUCCUUCGGGAGUCAGCAGUAAGGAAUAGUGCGCAAUGGGGGAAACCCUGACGCAGCAACGCGGCGUGGAGUAUGACACUCUGCGGAGAGUAAAAUCCUUUUAUCAGGAAAGCGGUACCUGAAGAAUAAGCACCGGCUAACUCCGUGCCAGCAGCCGCGGUAAUUC
RNAcentral lists this ribosomal RNA (408 nucleotides) under uncultured bacterium. RNAcentral's name for it is "partial 16S ribosomal RNA". It matches the Rfam family "Bacterial small subunit ribosomal RNA", at positions 29 to 526 of the family's 1533-position model. The record is from RNAcentral.